UGGGGAAUUUUGGACAAUGGGGGAAACCCUGAUCCAGCCAUCCCGCGUGUGCGAUGAAGGCCUUCGGGUUGUAAAGCACUUUUGGCAGGAAAGAAACGUCGCGGGUUAAUACCCGCGGAACUGACGGUACCUGCAGAAUAAGCACCGGCUAACUACGUGCCAGCAGCCGCGGUAAUACGUAGGGUGCAAGCGUUAAUCGGAAUUACUGGGCGUAAAGCGUGCGCAGGCGGUUCGGAAAGAAAGAUGUGAAAUCCCAGAGCUUAACUUUGGAACUGCAUUUUUAACUACCGGGCUAGAGUGUGUCAGAGGGAGGUGGAAUUCCGCGUGUAGCAGUGAAAUGCGUAGAUAUGCGGAGGAACACCGAUGGCGAAGGCAGCCUCCUGGGAUAACACUGACGCUCAUGCACGAAAGCGUGGGGAGCAAACAGGAUUAGAUACCCUGGUAGUCCACGCCCUAAACGAUGUCAACUAGCUGUUGGGGUCUUCGGACCUUGGUAGCGCAGCUAACGCGUGAAGUUGACCGCCUGGGGAGUACGGUCGCAAGAUU
Molecule: ribosomal RNA, 546 nt
Filed under: uncultured bacterium
Lineage: Bacteria
Description: partial 16S ribosomal RNA
Rfam family: Bacterial small subunit ribosomal RNA
Source: RNAcentral